This 76-nucleotide transfer RNA is filed under the name Tabrizicola sp. RNAcentral describes it as "tRNA-Pro". It matches the Rfam family "tRNA". Rfam says of the family: Transfer RNA (tRNA) molecules are approximately 80 nucleotides in length. Their secondary structure includes four short double-helical elements and three loops (D, anti-codon, and T loops). Further hydrogen bonds mediate the characteristic L-shaped molecular structure. tRNAs have two regions of fundamental functional importance: the anti-codon, which is responsible for specific mRNA codon recognition, and the 3' end, to which the tRNAs corresponding amino acid is attached (by aminoacyl-tRNA synthetases). tRNAs cope with the degeneracy of the genetic code in two manners: having more than one tRNA (with a specific anti-codon) for a particular amino acid; and 'wobble' base-pairing, i.e. permitting non-standard base-pairing at the 3rd anti-codon position. The record is from RNAcentral. RNAcentral also lists the same sequence under 1 other name. Lineage: Bacteria; Pseudomonadati; Pseudomonadota; Alphaproteobacteria; Rhodobacterales; Paracoccaceae.
CGGGAUGUAGCGCAGUAGGUAGCGUGCCUGCUUUGGGAGCAGGAUGUCGCAGGUUCGAUUCCUGUCAUCCCGACCA